UCAACUAUUGUUUGGGAGCUCAUCAGCUUGAAGUCUACUUGUGUUCUAAUAGAAAAGUAUAUUAACAUAGUAAAUCUGAGUUGGCAAAACAAAUAGUAGCUGGUAGAGGAUCUUUCAGAAACCUCGAAGUCUCAACAUAUGCUUCACUUUCUCAGUCACUAAACGUCAAGAUAGCAUAACUUUUAACUCUCUGCAUCAAAAUUUUACCAUCUUUUAAAUGGACAUGUAAAAGUUCUAAAAACUAAAUCAGAUGGGGUAUGCAUUUGAAUCUUGCAGCUAACUUGUAUAGUUUUUCUAUUGGUCACAUCACUUUCCAUAGGUCUGUAAAAAGAAUAUUAUGUUAGUACGUACGGCUUUUCCUGGUAAAGAACAGGAAGACCAAUCCUAUAAGAGGAUAUUGUUUUCCAGGGAUCAAUAUGCACUUAUGCAGACAAAGUUAUCAACCACUCAAGCACCAAAAAACUAAAAUGUAUGUGCAUUAGCUAGUAGGCUCUUGCCUGCACGGGAAUGUGCAGCUGUUGUAACAAAUGGAGCAUCACAGAAGGACUAUUUUUAAGUGAGAAACUGAAAAGAACUACAUAAAAUGAUUCUUCUACACCACUAAUGAAAGAAGCAAAUAAUAAAGGCAUGUGGGGUGAGUGCUGCUCUUGUAUAUAUAAUUAUGUAUAUAUGAAACAGGCAGCUACAUUUUUCCAGCUUCAACAUGUUCAUGAGGGUUUUCCAUAAUGUAUGAACAAUUGAGACAAGUUUUCAGGUUACCCACCGGCAUGGUUAAUGUGAAAAAGAUCAAAAAAGAAAAAAAAUGUACCUACUGGUGUUAUUAUGCUGAUCCCUUUCCAACCUAGUCUGCUUGCAUGUGAAUUAAGGAGAGAAUUGAGACAGAAGUGCAUUAGCUUACGAGUAAGUUGGAUGAUCCAUCCCACAUUUAUAAGUUAACAACAGCUUUCUAGUAUCACAGAAACACAUGUAUAAGUUGAAGCAGCCUAGCUCUGCAACUCACGGAGCCAUGCGUUGAGCACAUAGCGAACUAUU
RNAcentral lists this long non-coding RNA (1032 nucleotides) under Fragaria vesca (wild strawberry). RNAcentral's name for it is "long non-coding RNA (FVES_LNC004476)". Lineage: Eukaryota; Viridiplantae; Streptophyta; Magnoliopsida; Rosales; Rosaceae. The record is from RNAcentral.